This 3817-nucleotide long non-coding RNA is filed under the name Phascolarctos cinereus (koala). RNAcentral describes it as "lncRNA (ENSPCIG00000033430.1)". The record is from RNAcentral. Lineage: Eukaryota; Metazoa; Chordata; Mammalia; Diprotodontia; Phascolarctidae.
ACAAGGUAACCCUGGCCUCUGAACUACCACGCCCAGAAGUCCUCGCGGCAGAUGAAGACAAAGACCUUUUGUUGUCCCGUAACUUCCUGUACCGGAAGCUCUCGCCACCCGGAAGUUGGCCCUUUUCCCGGUUCUGUGGCCGCUGUGACCUGGCGCGCUCUCGGGGCGGACUGCGGGGGACCCUGGGGCGGGAGCGAGCGAGCUCUCCUCGUGGAUGCCCGGCCUUCCCUGAGACGUGGGAACACUGAGGAAAAGACAAUGGCCCCUGUAUUCCUGACAGCCAGGGCCCCCCAGAUUCGCAGUCCAAAUCACAAAAAUGGGCGAGUACAAGUCACGUGAUGCCAGCUUGGAGAUUCAGAAACUAGGCUUCAGAGAGAAGAAGUGCCUUGGACCACAGAGAGAGUAAAGGUUGGAGCCAGGACAGACGACAGGCUUCUAAUUUCCCUUUCCUUCCCCUGCUUCCAACCCAAGACCAGAGGAGACAUCGAAUCACUGCUUCAGAUUUGUCAGUCACACGCUUCUUGUGUUAUCUGACGUCAGCAAGGCGAGGUGUUGCUCUAAGCAGGUUUGAAUCAGGCUGUGAUCGUCAGCACUUAUGAAGUGCCUAUGGUGUGCCAAGCGCUGGGGCAAGGCAAUCCCUGCCCCCAGGAGCUCCAGGCUCCUGGCACUCUCCCCUUGCAAAGAUGCCUGUGCAAAUGAGAGAGUCUGGAUAACUAGAGGCAUUCUGUGGGGAAGGCCAAGCCCUGACGGGGAUUGAAGCGGCUUCUUGCCGAAGCGGGGAUUGUGGCUGAGACCUGCAGAGAGAGUGAUGCUGAGGGAGAGAAUUCAGGUGUGACAGAUGGUGUUGGAGGAAUUUGUGAUGAGGAAGAACUAGAAAAAACGUUUGGUUAUUAAUGAGGCUUGUUGAUAGAAUGAAUGUUUGUGGCAUGGUGACUGGUGGUGGUACCAUGAGAAGUGGGAGCCAGAGCGGCUCCUGGGCUGAGCUGGGAGGCAGCCCCCAAGGCUGGCGUCCUAUGAAUCUGGUCAAUGCAGUUUUACAUUGAAAAGGAAGGGAGGGGGAGGAGAGGGCCUGUCAUGGACAAAAUCAUGAUAACACAUGCUCAUCACACUGACCUCGCAGGGUCGUUAGGGGGAAGGUUCUUGGCUGUGAUGAUGUACACAGUUCCGAACCUAGUUCACACAGUAGGUGAUCAGUAAAUACUUUUCUAGGGCUGUACUGAAGGCUGAAUGCUCUAGGACUCCCCACAGUCCCUGGGCACCCCCACCCUUCCUCUCAGGUUGUUAUGAGGGUCCUGGGCACCCACACACAUACAUUUAUUAUUUCAGGAAUUAGUGACAUUCAAGGAUGUGACCGUGGACUUCACCUGGGAGGAGUGGGGGUGCUUGUACCCCUCUCAAAAGAAAUUAUACCACGAUGUGAUGCUGGAGAACUACAGGAACCUGAUCUGCCUGGGUAAGGAUGGCCCCCGGGCGUCAGUAUCUAUGUGCCCAUUGGGAGAGCUUCUCCUUCCUUCCUUAGUCAAUGCUGUUGUCGACUGGCUGGAGUUUUACGUAAUCAUUGUUUGGUACACCGGCAGCAGAGAUUGCUGAUCUUUUCAUCAAAUGGUAGAGUCCUCAUCACCAGGUGAAAGGUCUUUUGUUAUAGAACUGGAAGCUGGCAUUCUGAAUGUGUCUCCCCUAAGGUUGUGUUCUCAGGUCCCCCUGGUCAAAGGUUUCUCCCCUAAAGGGCCAAGUAGAGAGGCCUGGACACCUGAAAGAUUGCCGUCCUCUCGGCAGGGUCAGGCUGCGGUGAGCUCCUUUUUUCUGAGCCCAGAUCUGUUUUGUGACCUAAUGCACCACAUUUGCCAGGAGUAAAGUAUAGAACGUCCAUCGGGAGUCUUUGAAACAGCCUGUGACCUUCGUUGCAGGUCCGUUUUUUUCCCCCAAGAGACGAAACACAAAGGUUGAAUUCUGAACUGGAGAAUCUUCCAUUUCUCUUGAGCAGGACUUGAGGUUUCCGAACCACAUGUGAUCUAUCAGCUGGAGCAUGGGGAAGCACCUUUGAAGCUGGAGGGAGACAUCCCCAGGACCAGCCGUCCAGGUGAGCUGGCAAAUAUCUAGCACAGAAGUCAUUCCAAGCAGUGUCUGAGCCGGUCCAUCCCUUGGGGCAGAACAGUGCCAGGGGUCUCAACUGACAUGAGAUUUGUGAAGUACUUAGCCCAGUGCCUGGCACAUAGUAGGUGCUUAGUAAAUGCCUGUUCCUGUCCCUGUCCCUUCCCUGCCAAGAUUGUUUGGCCUGCACAGAAGAACCAGGCUGUCUGACCAUAGGUCUUUCCUACGGCUUCUUCCCUCCAACCAGUCACUUUCCUGGCCUCUCUCCACACCCAGGGUUAGAGAGAGAUGUGCCUCUGGUCAGGAAUGGCUCUUUCUCUCCCUCUUUGGUCUUGGGGACCUGUUUCCACCAGCUGGUACCUCAGUGACUGCCGUGAGCCCUCAUGUCUGGAGGAGCUCCUGAUGGACGCCUUCCUGCUUGGCGCAUUGAGGCUAAGUGAUGUGGUGAGCCGGGAUCAUUAGGAAGGUGGUCACUGUCACUAUCACUCCUUAUUGUCCAUGGGCACUCAAGGGCCAACCUCAUUUUGUAGUUUUCAGUUUUAUUGAUAUUUUGUGUUUUUAUCGCAUUCACUACCCAGGACUUCCUUCCCUCCCCUCCUACCCAGAGUCAUUCCUUAUGACACAGAAUGAAAAAGCAAAGGGGGGGGUAGGGGUGGGGUAGGUGGCGUGGUGGAUAGAGCACCAGACCUGGAGUCAGGAGGACCUGACACUAGCUAUGUGACCCUAGGCAAGUCACUUGACUCUAGUUGUGUUAAAAACAAAAAAAAAGCAAACAGAAAAAAAAAAGUCAGCAAAUUGUUUCCAGGGUAGCUUGACAGUAUUUGCUUUACCUCUGUCAUCUCUCACCUCUGCAAGGAAGGGGAAUGAGCGUGCUCCACUCUUUAUCGGGGCCAAGGAGGUUCCUGUCCUUAGCAGAAGAAAUUGUACUGAAUGUGAUUUAUUAUCAGACUUCAUGUGUGAGGAAUUCAUUGUUUGUAAGUAUAGCCACUUGUGGUCUCCCAAGUUUGCAUACUAAAAGUUCAGUGGGAGGUUUUUUCAUUUUAAGAUCACUGAAAGUGUGGUACCCGUCUCCCCAUGAUCAAAGGUAAUUAUAGCUUCUGUCAAGCUUCUUCCUGGCCUUUAUUGGUCUCCAAGUAGAGCAGGUUGGUCCUCUCAUGGCCAGAAGAUCAUGAGGUCCCCAGGGAGAUCCAUAGUGAAGGUCUGUCCUCUGAGGAGCGGGGCGCUCUGGCUGACCAGAUGUUGCAGGGGGUGCUGGCUUUGCCUGGCUUUUGCUGUUAGCUUCCGUGAAAGCAAUCUCUGCUGCCAUAGAACUCUUGAGUGAGGUUCGGUCCUUAGAAGAGAAGGUGAUUAGCCAGUGGUGCAGAGCUUAGAUGCAGCCAGCAAGCCAGACUUCUCAGAGGAGCGGGUUCAGGAGUCGUUUGUUAAAGCCCAGCGAGUUCAUCAGCUUGCCAACAGGUCUCUGUGGCUGGUGUUCGUGCUGUGGGCUGGAAAGAUUCAGACCUUGGUGCUUGGAGUGAGGAUGUAGGAGAGGAUACUGGGAAGGAGGGUGUACUGCAUGCCCCUUUUCCUUCUCAUUAGUGCAUUUCCACCUCCCCAGGCAGGAACAGAUCCUCCACAUGAGCCCGUCUGCCUCACCCCCCCAUCAUCUUUCUUCUGGACAGUGGCUAUAGUGAUCCUUAUCUUUCAAACCAAAUCUAGCAAUAAAACUGCAUUAAAUGGACCUACA